CCUUUCCAGCACAGGCCUGCUCUGGGCCGCCCUGCCUCCCCCAGAGGCUGCAGGGAGCCCCAAGCAGGCGCAUUGCGGGCUCUGCUCAGAGAGACGCCUCCACGGGUUAAUUCAGCGGCCUCUGUCUGGAAUUCAUGCACCACCUGGGCUGACAGCAUGAAUGACUCAUUGUUUCCCCUCUGAACAGGCUGAGGAGUGCUUCUUGGUGUCAAUAACUGAGGCAAAGUAAAAUUGUUUUUUCCCUUUCAACAUGACCAAUUUUCUAAGACUGAAUAUAGAACUGGAAAUCUGCAGGGUGUGUUUCUUCUGCGGCAACGGUAGCCAAGGUUACUGCUUUGAGUUGGUCUGCAGGGACAGAGGAUUAAAAUUUACUGUCUAUAAACAGAAGAAGGCCUAAAGCCAGAGCUCCUUUAUUUACAGCUUGUGUCAUGGUUUUAUAAAAUGAAGGAAACUUAAUUGAAACCUCUAGUUUGUGUAAACCUGGGAUCUGACUGUACACAAUACCUGAUUUUAUUUCUAAUACCCGUGAUUUGUAUAAAUGAAGAUUUUGAUGAUAAUUUUCCCAUAGCUAAGUAUAAGACAUGUAUGCUUUGAAGUCCAUAUAUGAAUCUUCCAUACCAGCAUUUCCAAAGCAGUGUAUUAAUAAUUAUGCCCCACCUUCAAUUUUCCUAUAUGGCACCCUUCUCAUUUUCAGUUACUUUUAGUUUCCUUGGGAAACUGGACUGGUUGAUAUUCCUGGACUAUGGGAUCUUUUUGCCUUGCUUACGCAUAUCUCAGUCCAAAAGCUUGACAGCCAGAACUAUACAGAUAUUUUACUACCUUUCUGCAAGUGUGCGUGUAUAACACUCUUGUUUCUUUGAACUCUUGUUUCUUUGGCCUCUUAUACUUUCCUAAACUUUAGGUGUUUUUUUAAAAAAAUUCAAAAAGAGGCCGGGCGCGGUGGCUCAUGCCUGUAAUCUCAGCACUUUGGGAGGCCGAGGGGGUCAGGUCACGAGGUCAAGAGAUGGAGACCAUCCUGGCCACUAUGGUGAAACCCCAUCUCUACUAAAAAUACAAAAAUUAGCUGGGCAUGGUGGUGUAUGCCUGUAGUCCCAGCUACCCGGAGGCUGAGGCAGGAGAAUUGCUUGAACCAGAGUUGGAGACUGCAGUGAGCCAAGAUCACACCACUGCACUCCAGCCUGGCGACAGAGCAAGACUCUAUCUCAGAAAAAAAAAAAAAAAAAAAUUCAAAAAGAAAGAUGUAGAAAAAAAAGAAAUAAAUGCAGAAAGGAAAGGGAAAAAGGUCUUGUGUAGAUUCAGGACCUUGGUUCUAAUUCAAAUCUGGGAGGUUAGCAUGCAACAGAGUACUUUCUUCAUCCAAUUAAGUAGCAGCCCUGAAUAGAUUCCAAGUCAUUCUGACUUUGAAUAGGGAUGAGGACAGCUGAUACUGAAGAAGAGAGAAUGUUGAGGCCCAUGUAUAGCCUUAAAAGAGAGAGAGAAUGAACUUGGGAUGUGGAGAUUAAAUAGGGCGUUUAAUAAAAUGGCAGUAGAUGCUUUUAUUUUAAUUGGUAUCAAUCAGCUCAAGUAACCUUUAAAUUUCUGCAAUAACAGGAGACU
Molecule: long non-coding RNA, 1596 nt
Filed under: Homo sapiens (human)
Lineage: Eukaryota; Metazoa; Chordata; Mammalia; Primates; Hominidae
Description: HSALNT0383130
Source: RNAcentral